Molecule: ribosomal RNA, 514 nt
Filed under: uncultured soil bacterium
Lineage: Bacteria
Description: bacterial SSU rRNA
Rfam family: Bacterial small subunit ribosomal RNA
Source: RNAcentral
AGAUUGAACGCUGGCGGCAGGCCUAACACAUGCAAGUCGAGCGGUAGAGAGGUGCUUGCAUCUCUUGAGAGCGGCGGACGGGUGAGUAAUGCCUAGGAAUCUGCCUAGUGGUGGGGGAUAACGUUCGGAAACGGACGCUAAUACCGCAUACGUCCUACGGGAGAAAGCGGGGGACCUUCGGGCCUCGCGCCAUUAGAUGAGCCUAGGUCGGAUUAGCUAGUUGGUGAGGUAAUGGCUCACCAAGGCGACGAUCCGUAACUGGUCUGAGAGGAUGAUCAGUCACACUGGAACUGAGACACGGUCCAGACUCCUACGGGAGGCAGCAGUGGGGAAUAUUGGACAAUGGGCGAAAGCCUGAUCCAGCCAUGCCGCGUGUGUGAAGAAGGUCUUCGAUUGUAAAGCACUUUAAAGUUGGGAGGUAAGGGUUAGUAAACCGUUUAAUAACCGUUGGCUAAACUUUGACGUUUAACCGACAGAAUAAAGACACCGGACUAAACUUCGUGCCAGCAGCCGA